ACGUAGGUGGCAAGCGUUGUCCGGAUUUAUUGGGUUUAAAGGGUGCGUAGGCGGCUUAUUAAGUCAGGGGUGAAAGACGGUGGCUCAACCAUCGCAGUGCCCUUGAUACUGAUGAGCUUGAAUACACUAGAGGUAGGCGGAAUGUGACAAGUAGCGGUGAAAUGCAUAGAUAUGUCACAGAACACCGAUUGCGAAGGCAGCUUACUAUGGUGCCAUUGACGCUGAGGCACGAAAGCGUGGGGAUCAAACAGGAUUAGAUACCCUGGUAGUCCACGCCCUAAACGAUGAAUACUCGCUGUUAGCGAUAUACAGUUAGCGGCUAAGCGAAAGCGUUAAGUAUUCCACCUGGGGAGUACGCCCGCAAGGGUG
Molecule: ribosomal RNA, 369 nt
Filed under: uncultured bacterium
Lineage: Bacteria
Description: bacterial SSU rRNA
Rfam family: Bacterial small subunit ribosomal RNA
Source: RNAcentral